RNAcentral lists this ribosomal RNA (446 nucleotides) under uncultured bacterium. Its description in RNAcentral is "partial 16S ribosomal RNA". It matches the Rfam family "Bacterial small subunit ribosomal RNA", at positions 338 to 795 of the family's 1533-position model. The record is from RNAcentral.
CCUACGGGUGGCAGCAGUCGAGAAUCAUUCACAAUGGGGGAAACCCUGAUGGUGCGACGCCGCGUGGGGGAAUGAAGGUCUUCGGAUUGUAAACCCCUGUCAUGUGGGAGCAAAUUAAAAAGAUAGUACCACAAGAGGAAGAGACGGCUAACUCUGUGCCAGCAGCCGCGGGAAUACAGAGGUCUCAAGCGUUGUUCGGAAUCACUGGGCGUAACGCGUGCGUAGGCUGUUUCGUAAGUCGUGUGUGAAAGGCGCGGGCUCAACCCGCGGACGGCACAUGAUACUGCGAGACUAGAGUAAUGGAGGGGGAACCGGAAUUCUCGGUGUAGCAGUGAAAUGCGUAGAUAUCGAGAGGAACACUCGUGGCGAAGGCGAGUUCCUGGACAUUAACUGACGCUGAGGCACGAAGGCCAGGGGAGCGAAAGGGAUUAGAUACCCGAGUAGUC